This is a non-coding RNA of Nothobranchius furzeri (turquoise killifish), 8910 nucleotides long. The record is from RefSeq and is a predicted model, not a curated record. NCBI's taxonomy places the organism in Eukaryota, Metazoa, Chordata, Actinopteri, Cyprinodontiformes, Nothobranchiidae.
GGGCUUUGGAAGAGUUGUGCGACACAAUGAAUCGAUGACGCAAUUCGUUGCCAACGCUUUUAGUAAUCGAUUUUCAUCGAAUUUAUCGAUUCGUUGUUGCAGCCCUACUACUCAUUUCACAGUUCAACUAAAUAUAAAAAUUAAACUGUCAAACUAGUCCUACUCAAACAACAAGUGUUUAGACAUUUUUGCUGUCCAGAUUUUUAAAUAAUGUUCAGAUUUCAGUUUUCAUCUGUUUAGGAUUGUUUUCUCCGUUCUUCACUUUUUGUGCUUUAUUUACAUUUUGGUGCUUUUUGCUUCUAAAUCUUUAAAUACAUUCAGCUCAUUUGAACAGUUUUGCUUAGUUUCAGCUUCACUUCAGCUAUUCAGCAGCUUCAGCCAUUAGUUUCUGAAUUCAGCAUAUGAUGCUAAUUUCACAGUUCAGCUAAAUGUAAAAAUUAAACUGUUAAACUAGUCCUACUGAAAUUUACAGGUGUUUAGACAUUUUAGCUGUCCAAUUUUUUUAAAUAGUGUUCACAGAUUUGAGUUUUCUGCUCUUUAGGAUUAGUUUUCUUGAUUCUUCACUGACUUGUUGUGCUUUUUUUGCUUCUUGAUGCUUUUUGCUUUCACAUCUUUCACUACAUUCAGCUCAUUUGACAGUUUAGCUUAGUUUCAGCUUACUUCAGCUAUUCAACAACUUCAGCAAUCAGUUACCAAAUUUAGCAUAAAUGCUAAUUUCACAGUUCACCUAAAUGUAAAGAUUAAACUACUAAGCUUGGCAAACUGAAUUAACAGGUGUUUAGACAUUUUAGCUGUCCAGAUUUUUAUUUAAUGAUCACAGAUUUAAGUUUGUUUGCUGUUUAGCAUUAUUUUUCACUAUUCUUCACUUACUUUUUGUGCUUUAUUUGCUUGUUGGUGCUUUUUGCUUCUACAUCUUUCAAGACAUUCAGCUCAUUUUGACAAUUUUGCUUAAAGAGCAAGUAACGUCUAAAUUAACUUUUUUUUCUGAAGAACUGUAUAAAUGAGUGUCUUAUAGUGUUUUAAAUGUGUGUGUAUUCAUUAUUUUAGCAUUUUGUGCAUUUUCUUUAAAAAUUAAAAAUUCUGCCUAAAUACCACAGUAUAGCUCCACCUUCAGCUUAAAACAUAGUAUUUGACUCAUUUUGAAUAAAUUUUAUCCAAUGGCUAAAGAGUAAGAUACUACGUAAACCAGUAGAGUACUACGUAGCAGCUCUGUGUCAAAGUUAUAAAGCAUCGAGAGUCUCGGCCACGCCUUGUGGCGAGUUGGGAGUUGGAUUUGCAAGCCAGUGUAGGAGGUCAGUGGUAGUUCGGCAUUAGCAUAUAGCGUUAGCAUAUCCUAGUCUUUAGCAUAGCUUUUAGUGUUAUAAAUACUUAUUUAGUGUUAGUUUGGCUGUUGGAUAUUGUAGUUUAGUUAGUGUUUGGCUGUUAGUGUAAAUAGGAAAGUAGUUCGGGUUUAGUGCUCCAUAUCAUGUUAGUAUGGUGAGAAGGUGUAGUGUAGUAUGGUUGCGGUGGCUCUGUGGGGUUGCACUCCCUUCCGCUGGACUUAGAAAUUAGGCACCAGUGGUUGAGCGCAAUCGGUGUCUGGAAAACAUUCAGCUCCCGCCUGGUGCUGUAGUUUGCACCCAGCAUUUUACCCGCGAUUCUGCACGUCUCCGUUUGAAGAGGGAGGCUGUGCCCACCGUGGCUCUUCCGCGAUUUAGAUGCAGCCCACCGACUCUGCUCCCCCAUCACGGCAGGCUCCAGUCUGAGGUGAGUCAGCUAAAUAACAGUUUUGACAUCUUCUAAAGACAAUUCCCUACCUAAAUGCAAAGUCUGUGCGACGUGGUUCACUUCCUUUAGCUCGUCAGUCGGUAAUUCUGCAACAGUGGCUCUAACUGACGCAGCACUAGUUGACACACAGCAUUACAGUGUGAAAUCCAGCUUGUGACCCGGUUCUGUAAGGAAUUCUGUUCAGGAGGUCGCAUUUCAGGCUCUCCACAUCAUGUGUGAGUGACUUUUACGUUAUAACAACGAUCACACACUAGGAAUGUUAUAAAGCGCCUAUAUAGGACAGUUUCUUUUGUAUAUUAUCUGACUUUAUAAACUCCAACAACAAUGUGCUUCAAUUUUUUUUUCAGGCUAAAUCUACCCAAGACACUGGCUGUCAGACUGAUUUAGCUGCAAGAAUGCACUUGUCCAGGCUGACGUGAAGCCUUACCGGCGUAGCAAAGGGACCAUGACGGAAAAUCAUCUUCCAGAAGGUCCCAGAGCAGCGUCCACACCCUGAAAAGACCAAGAUGUGAGGUGUCUGCUGUUGAUUCCAGCUUCCACCUCAGUGACAGUGCAAGCUCAGUGAACUGUUCAAGGAGGCUACUGAUUCUGGCCCUGUGACACUUGGUGGUGACAUGUGAGCUGAUUCACCUGGACACUCAGCAAAAUAUGGACUCUACACCAUGAGGCAGGCACACGUUAAUAUUCUAUAAGAGCACAUAAGCCUGGCUGAUCACCUGAUAACUCCUGUCAUCUGGUUGUGACAGCAUGAGGAUGUCCUCACACACCUGUAACCUAUCAGCUCAUCUGGCAGAAUAGAGAGAAGAGACAACACCACAUCUCCUGUUCCUGGAAAGCCUUCAGCCAUCCUUCGAUGACUGAGAACCUCCAUCAGCUCUGUCUCCUGUCUGCCUACAAUUAUUAUAAUAAAUAUUGUGUUUGACAAGUUUUUUGUGCUGCCAAAUAUCUCAUAUAGAUUCCAGUUUUGAUAUUUUAAUGGACAUUUAUAAAUAACAUUAAUUGAAUUACCACAUUGUUGCAUGUUUAAAUAGCUCUAUUGUGAUGAAUUAAACUAGCACCUCACUGUUAAAAACUCGUUUUAAUUUCAAGCAUGUUUAAGUAUUUAUGGACAUGAACAAAAACAGGAAAUAUAUCAAUUGAGAUUUAUUUAAUUAAUAUAACAAAUAAGGGGGAAAGAGUCAUUGAAAGGCACAUUCUUCCGGAAGCUCCUGAUCCUGACGACACCAGCAGAGGAGACCAGCUGCAGACACCAGAAGAUCACCUACAACCAAGAAAGCAGCUGUUAUCAGUAAAUAAAUAAUGAAAUCAGGACAGUUUUAGUGGGCUGAACACAUUACAGAAUAAUUUUCUCACGGGAUAUUUUCAUAACUUUAUGCAGCAGACUAGCUUGAGCCCAGGGCUCCUGGACAGCUGCUAUCCAGCACGUUUCAGUGGUUUUCCUGCUUUAACAGGUUAGAUUAGCUGUUAAGCAGCUCAGCUAUUUGUUGCUGAUUAAAACCAGGUGUGUUGAAGCAGAUAAACCUCUAAAACAUGCUGAAUACUAGCUCUCUAGGGCCGUGGAGCUAAUCGGAUGCUAUGGCUAACGGCUACUUACCAUUCAGAGCUGGUUCUGUUGGGUCGGUUCCAGUAGUUUCAGGCAACUCACAAGCUCAAAACAAUAAGGCUCAGGUCCGCUUGUCUCCUCCAAAUAGACUUGGUCCCUUUCUUCUCGAGUGUCUGGGUAAGGAGGGGGAGAAACGUCCCCCACUUCUAAUAACUGCUCAGAGUGAAGGGAGCUAGCAUCGUCUAGUUAGCCAUCGUCUUCGUCACUGCCGCGGCUCCGCCCUCUCGGUCCUCCAGGCAACGCCUACUAAUGUUGCAGUUUUUAAAAUUGAUACGUGGGUGGAGAAGGACUCUGAGGGGGGAAUUACCACCUCUUUAAUUUCAGCUUCAGUUCAGCUGUUCAGCAGCUUCAGCUUACAGUUUCAGCAAUCCAGCAUUCAAACAGCAUUUGUGCAAUAAGGACUCUUUCUUUUUAAUAAAUCAAAGAACUCUAUUUUUAAUAAAGCUAAUCAAACAAAGUGUUAGUCAGUAAUAUAAUGCUGACCAAUCUGUGAAAUGACAAUGUUAUGAUUAGUAAGUUUAAUGAGUAAUAUGACUUUAGUCUAGCUGCACUAGACAUCUUGAUCCACGUAAUGUAAACGCAUGGCACAUUGCUCUUUCUCAUCCAAUCAUAAGCAUGGCAUAGUCUCUGUGGUGUUUAUAAAUCUGUCCAACUUCGAUUCGACCAUAAAUCAAAACAUCCAGAUGAAUAAAACCAGUCCCCACGCCAUCUUAGUUCAGUUCACUGCAUUCUAAGAGAAGUAUCGGACCGGCCACCUGGACUUCCUUUUUAAGCAAAGAACCAACAAGCUGGAUAAAAUCUGUUGCAUUUUACCAACCAAACAACGGUUCCUUUCAGAAUAAAAGCUGAACUCACUGACCCCAAGGGGGAUCCAUCUGACGCUGUCAACCAACUGUCGCUUUUUACCUGGAGACAAUCCAAAGACUAGUCUGUCGUACUGCUGACGCUGUUUCAUCGGCUCCGGUACCGAAGGGGGGUCCGAGGACCUGGCAUUCUGGAUCUGUACAGAGGUCUCAUCCUGAAGGGUAUGUGUGGAGCGACAACAUGGCGUCUUAUGUGUUUAUGAAACUCCGAUCAUAGCUUAAGAGCAAAACAUCAUUUCAUCAUUCAGACUUGCUUCUCCGGAUACGAGAGUUCUGAUGACAACAUCACUCACACAUACACCAUUCAUCUCACGUCUCAUUCACACCAAGAUCCAUCCAUUCACUUAGAAUUUAGAGUUAGUCUUGUUUAAAAUUGUUUAGAAAUAAAUCUUCUUAAACGUUUUAAAGGUGACUCUCUUCUGUUGUCUCUCAGUUAAUACGAAGUGGUACAUAAUCCCUGCAAUAAAAAGUUCCAAUCUUCUGGUUAAAACUACCCAAAGAUCCAUAAGAUUGAUUUCAUAUUUACUAUGGAAUCUCAUGUCUUAUGGUUCAUUAAAUAAUAUUAAAUUAACCCUUUACAGAGCUAAGGCGGUGGCUGAACAGAGAGGCAGGAAGCAAACGCCGAACGUGCCGCAGCAGGCGAGAUUUAAAAAAUUGUUUAUAAAAUAAGGUCUAUUUUAUUUGUCGGUGUUGUCGUGACGAGUUGACUAAUCAUGGCAGCCCUAGACAUCUUGCUGCGGCUGCCUCUUGCUCUCUUUUGGUUUGAGAGGGGAGGGCCUGGUGACGUAGCGUGCCUGAGUCUGUGGUUUUGAUUGGUUAGGAGUAAGUAGAGUCUAGUAUGCUGCUACCUGAUAGGUUAUAAUGAAAAAAGGAAACUUUAACGAAGUUUUACUGACCAGUUUCAAAUCAAAUCAAAGAUACUUUAUUAAUCCCAGAGGGAAAUUAGAGUUUUUUACCUAUCGCAACACAUGUCUAUCGAUAGAUAUAUUGAACUAUUGAAUUAUCGUCCAGCCCUACCUUAUCGACUUCCUUUGUCUUCAUUCUUCUCUUGGGCUGGAAAGGAAAACAGUUUAGAAGCAAAUGAAUGAGACCUUGAGGCAAUAUCUCAUGCAGAUUAGUUCCUGCUGAGGAGAGGGGGAAAAUGACUUUUAGGUGGAAAACAGUUAUUUAAUUUCGUUACAGCUCCGAGGCGCAUGCACAGUGGUGGCCAUCCAGCUCAGCCUUCAUCAUCGGAGAAAGUGUCGAGUCGCAACAUAUCUGAAAAGUUUGGGAGCAUUAUACUAAUUCAAAAGAAAACCACUUAGUGCAAACUCUGCAAAGCGAAACUCUCCUUUCACAGUAGCACAUCAGCGAUGCACGAGCAUCUUAAGGGAAGUACAGAGUCGCCUCAGUCACCUCCGCGUGUUUGAAUUUGCCCCUCUUUUAUGUUGAUUUUAUUUCCCUGUUUUCAUUGGUCUCUUUAUCCUUUGUUUUACCCAUUUGUCUUCUACUUUAAUGUUUUACCUUUUUUGCACUAUUCGAAUUGCUUUUAUUUUUGAUUUCUUCAUCAUGUUUCACAUUUCUCAUGUACCAUGUUCAGCGCCUUGGAAGGCGCUUUAUAAAAAAACCUUUGAUUGAUUGAUUGAUUGAUUGACUGAAGUUUACCUCUUGUUAGCUGCUAACAUCAACAGAGUUACUUGUAUUUAUAGCUGCAUCAACACCAGUAGAGACAGUGAUGUUGUUACCUUUAGAACAUGUUUGUAUGUCACUUAUUUUUGCUCCAAUUACAAACACUAAUGAUUUAUCUCAUCCCGCUCCAUUAAAGUGGAGUUUACAGACAUAUAAAUGACAACAACCAUCUACAGUCAGGUCCAUAAAUAUUGGGACAUUGACACAAUGCUAACAUUUUUGGCUUUAUUCACCACCACAAUGGAUAUCAAAUUAAAUGAACAAGAUGUGCUUUAACUGUAGACUGCCAGCUUUUAUUUGAGGGUAUUUACUGUAAUGAGUUAAUUUACAUGUUAUUUAAUGAGCCAUAAGACAUAGGAUUCCAUAGGAAAUAUGAAAUCAACCUUAUGAAUCUGUGGGUACUGUUUAACCAGAAGAUUGGAACUUUUUAUUGCAGGCAUUAGAUAACCUCGUAUUCAGAGACAACAGAAGAGUGAGAGUCAGGUUUUGAAAGUUUAAAGAUGUAUUACUUAACAAAUUGAAACUAGACUAACUUAAACACUAAAUGUAUGGUGUAACUAAGGUGAAUGAAACGGAGAAUGAUGUAGUGUGGAAUGUUGCUCAGAACCAGCAAAUCCGAAGAAGCGAUUAGUUCUGAUGGGAAGUGAGGGUGAUCUCUUUGCACUAAGCUUUGGUUAGGAGAUUCAUAAACACAUUCAACGCCAUUUCGUUGGCCUACAUACCCUUUUGGAAGUCCCCGUUAGAUUAGGAAUGUCGAGGUCCGCCUGGACCCUCUCUGGAACCGAAGCCGGUAGGAAAAGCAGCGUUUGCCGACCAGACCAGUCUUGAGAUACUUCCAGGUCACAACAGUUUUGUUGGCAUCUAGCGAGACCCAAACCUGGGUCGUGAUGGUUCAGCUUUUAUUCUGAAAAGAACCGUUGCAGCAGUUGGAACAGCAACAGAUUUUAUCCAGCUUGUCAUUGAUUCUUUCGACUGAAGAGGAAAGUUAUGGAUUGGCCACUCCGACAACUUCUCUAGAACGCGUUGAACUGGCGUUAAAGAUGACAUGGGCAUAGUUUUAUAAUUUGGAUGUUUUGAUUUAUGGUCGAAUGAAAAGAUGACAGAUUUACCAAACACCACCAAAACCACGCCUCCGUCAGAUCUGGCAGAUUCUGAUUGAAUCAGUAAACGCAAUGUGUCACUAUGUGAGAUCAGUCCUAGUGGAAACAUUUAAAGUGUAUAUUCUAUAGGAUUAUAAUAAAGUAAUUAAUAUUUUUAUUUCACAGAUUGGUCACAUCUUAUUAUUGACUAACACUUUGACUAGCUUUAUUAAAAAUAGAGUUCUUUGAUUUAUUAAAAGGAGAGAGUCCAUUCUUCAUUCUUCUCUUGAGCUGGAAAGAAGCAGUUUAUAAGCAAAUGCAUGAGACCUUGAGGCCAUAUCUCAUGCAGACUAGUUCUGUGUCAGAGGAGAGGGGGAAAAUGACUUUUGGUGUAAAACUUUGUAGGAAUUACAAUAGUAUGCAUAUGUGCCUCCCACUUGUUAAGGGGAGGCACAUAGUGCCCGAAAGAACCGGGUGUGACCGAAAGUGACCGAAAGAACGAGAUCGCAGAUACAAGCGACCGAAAUGAGUUUUCUCUACAAAGUGGCUGGACUCUCCCUUAGAGAUGGGGUGAGAAGCUCAGUCAUCUGGGAGGGGCUUAGAGGAGAUUUGCUGUUCCUUCAGAUUGAGAGGAGCCAGUUGAGAUGGCUCGGACAUCUGGUCAGGAUGCCUCCUGGAUGCCUCCCUAGUGAGGUUUUUCGGGCACGUCCAACAGGGAGGAGACCCAAAGAAAGACCCAGAACACGUUGGAGGGACCAUGUUAAUCCAGCUGGCCAGGGAACACCUUGGGAUUCCCCCGGAAGAGCUGGCCCAAGUGGCUGGGCAGAAUGAAGUCUGGGCCUCUUGAUUUUGGCUGCUGCCCUCACGACCCGACUCCGGAUAAGCGGAUGAAAAUGGAUGGAUGGAUGGAUGGAUGGAUGGAUGGAGUAAAAAUUGAGACAAGGACAUCUGUAGCAUCUUCAUUGUAUUCCAUGCAUGAAGCUGAAGCAGAGGGCAGUUCGGAAGGCUUCCCUUAAAUGAGACCAAGUUCACUCAUUUCAUUUUUGGUCUCUAGUAUACACGGAUGCCUUGUGAUUCGAUGUCUGUGGGUAAAAAAGAUCUCGUGCUCCUUUUUCAGGAAGUAGAAGUUAGCGGGAGCAGAAAACAGCAGGACGUGGCAUCUGAAGCCGGGCGUACACUGUGCGACUUUUUCACUCGCAGCGUUCAGCUUCAGCUCAAACUGUACGACUUCCUCGCAGAGCAGAUCUCACGAGUCAUGUGCUCACACUGUACGACCCAGUUCUUGCAUGCGACCUGAAUGCUCACACUGUACGAGUGCCGCAGCUAAAAAUUAGCCAGUAGAUGACGCAACACGUUGGAAUUACAAACACGAAGAAGAAAACCCCGGAAGUAAACACGAGGGAAAACGAAAACAACACGUUCGGUUCCGAGCAGAAUAGCGCUUGCAUGCUCGCUGUUAACCGCAAUAAUGCCCGUCAAAACAAGACGUUUGUCUUUGGCUCUUCUUGCCAUCAUGUGUGUAGAUGAAAAGAAAAAGAGAAGACGAAUGUGGACAAAGAAAUGGCUGGGCAGACGUUGCCAGUAUGGUUUGUCAAAUCUACAGCAGGAAUUGGAGGUAAGAUGUUUGAAAUUGUCUUUUCCUUAUGUAACUACAAUUGUAUCUAUGGACUUAAAUUACAUUUUGACCAGCUGAUGGACUUUGGGGUGGUGGGUGGAGUGACAACCACCAUUUGUAAUGCUGUUGCAUUGGUGUGUGAAAUAGAUCGAUGAUAUGAAGGGGUUUCGGGACCUUCUCCGCAUGUCUGUGGAAGAAUUCAACGACCUUCUGGAGAGAGUGACCCCUCAAAUCAUCAAGAGAGACACACACACCUGAGGAAGGCGAUCAGUCCUAGGGAGAGGCUCUCUGUGACACUGAGAUUCCUUGCAACAG